This 1511-nucleotide long non-coding RNA is filed under the name Takifugu rubripes (torafugu). Its description in RNAcentral is "lncRNA (ENSTRUG00000028075.1)". Lineage: Eukaryota; Metazoa; Chordata; Actinopteri; Tetraodontiformes; Tetraodontidae. The record is from RNAcentral.
GCUUAAACCCGAUACCGCUAAAUACGAAUUCCAUGUCGAAAGUGGACAGACACCAUAUGUUUUUCGGAUUGAAACGAUUUGAGCAUAACAGAAAAACACCCGGCCUCGACAUAUUUUAUGUCAUGCGAGGCUCGGUCCGUUUUCCUCUCCUCUUUCACGCUGGCUACGUUCUUAAAUAGAAUCCCAAUUACGACACCUAGCUGGACGAGCGAGCCAAGGCUGAGGCAUUUAAGAUGACAAACAGCACGGUUUCAUGGGUCUUUGCCACAGAACAUCAAACACGCUGAUCCCUGUAGGAGCAGGUGAUCAGAAGCGUUACGUAACGGAGCUUCAGACAGUGCGGAGGACAGACAUGAAAGCCUCGGAUCUUCUUUGCAUUAGCACGCUAAUGCGGGGACAUGGAUUUGCAUGAUCAGAGUGUUCUCCGCUAAUUUCUACUGCUAACUUUGGGAUUGUUAGCAGGGUUUUUCCUUUGCGACACACUAAUGGACCCACAAUGAGUCGAUUUGCUCAAGGAAACCACCCAAAAUGGGUUUCUGACCAGGUGGUGCUGGAGUCUGUCCCGGUCGCUGGCACUGGCAUCUCGACAUGGGGGCCGUGGACCAAAGGCUCGUCUCGCUGGGAAAGGCGUCUGCUGGCGGAGACCUCCCCGGGAGCCCGCCAUCGCCUGGAUCCUCCCGUGAGAGGAGCCGUGAGCGCUGGCGGCGCUCUGGAAAGGCUCAGGCGGCAGGACGCAGAGCAAGAAAACAGAGAACCUGAAGGGAUUUUAUUUCAUCUCUGAAGCGACGAAAGAACAAAGUUGAUCCGCUCUCUGAUUCUAUUUGUCUGGUGUGUUUGGAGCCUCGCAGACAGAAGAUCCACAUCAGCGGGACGCCGAGGCCAUAAAACUUUGAUACCAGAUGUGAUUUCAUUAAGGCCACGGUUUGAUCCAUCACCGCGUCUGCUUCUUUUAUCGUGGCCGACUCGCUUUCUUCUUAAUAAACAUGUAAUUUGCGCGGUGAUUGAUGGCUUUUCAGUGCUGCUCUAGCAGCCUCCUUUCCAAUGGAUUCAGCAGCCACUACUCUCGUCCCCGCGGUCCCCAUAAAAGUGACGGGCUGACCGCCAUUCUACCCUGCAGCCCUUCUCUCCGCCGCCUUCUGUGAUUCCCAUCACUGCCCUGGACUCCAGGAGCUCGCGUCUUCUCCCACCUCCGCUCUGAAAACCCGUUGUGCAACAUUUAAAAUAGCUUCCACGCAGGUUUGUGACUGAGAGGGGCAUAGUUUGAGUCUAGACAGCAGGCUGCAGCAGGCGCGGGCGUCUUCUCUGCUCAGUGGGCUGCAGAAUUCUGAGACAGGGAAGAGGAACCAUGCUAAAGAUACUAAACCAGCAGGAUAAAACUGCCCUCUGCUCCUUAAAGGGGCGGUUUGCCCAAAAAUCCAAAUGCUUUCUUGACUUCCUCAUCGCUGCGCUAGCGGAGUUUCUGAAUUUGACUGCGCCACAACUGCAGAUGUGAAAAAAUUAAAGGCAGGAGA